Molecule: ribosomal RNA, 393 nt
Filed under: uncultured bacterium
Lineage: Bacteria
Description: bacterial SSU rRNA
Rfam family: Bacterial small subunit ribosomal RNA
Source: RNAcentral
ACGGGUGAGUAACACGUGAGCAACCUGCCCCAGACUCUGGAAUAAGCGCUGGAAACGGCGUCUAAUACUGGAUACGAAACUGGCCCGCAUGGGCAUGGUUUGGAAAGUUUUUCGGUUUGGGAUGGGCUCGCGGCCUAUCAGCUUGUUGGUGAGGUAAUGGCUCACCAAGGCGACGACGGGUAGCCGGCCUGAGAGGGCGACCGGCCACACUGGGACUGAGACACGGCCCAGACUCCUACGGGAGGCAGCAGUGGGGAAUAUUGCACAAUGGGCGAAAGCCUGAUGCAGCGACGCCGCGUGAGGGAUGACGGCCUUCGGGUUGUAAACCUCUUUCAGCAGGGAAGAAGCGAAAGUGACGGUACCUGCAGAAGAAGCACCGGCUAACUACGUGCC